UGGGAGGGGGAAAACUCAAACUCAAGAAACUAGUCUUACAAGGCCUUGUGAUAUACGGUGGGGUACAAAUCACAAGCUCGUCUUCAGUUGAUCUGGUCUUCUAUAUUGGUGGUGCUAGAGAAUAUUAGUGAAGAUGGGAAAAGAAAACACGAGCAUCUGGUUUAAUAUAAAGAAUGGAGGCAUUUAAAUUUGUGAUUAUAUUACAUCUUAUAAUAGGGUAUUACGGAAGACUCGUGAGCUGUCCCAAUCUUACUAUUACUAAUUGGAGGCUUCUUUUGAAGCCUCCAGGUGAAGUCACCUAGGAUUCCUAGGUGGACAAUCUAGAAAAAGAGAGAAGUCCUUGAAAUUCUUACAAAAAAAAUAAAACAUCUAGCCAUCAAUCGGUAGACUCAACUCAUCAUAGCCAUUGGAUCUAUUAUAUUUUAUGAAAAAUUACCCACCUAUAUCAUUAUAAAAAUAGCCUAAAGUAACCCCUAAAUCUAUAUCUAAAUUACCCACCUCUACCAUUAUAUAAAAUUAACUAAAGUAACCCCCUAAUCUUCAUCAAAAUUACCCACUCAUGCUAUUAUAAACAAUAUUUAAAAUAACAUCCUAAAUUUGAAACUAAAUUGCCCACAACUAAUACUUCAAAAAAACUUAAAGUAACCCUUAAAUUUGCAUCUAUAUUACCCACAUAUGCUAUUAUUAAAAAAUAAUAUGAGGUAACCCUACAUUUAAAUCCAAUCACCUUAAUUAAAA
This 738-nucleotide long non-coding RNA is filed under the name Setaria viridis. RNAcentral describes it as "long non-coding RNA (SVIR_LNC008199)". Lineage: Eukaryota; Viridiplantae; Streptophyta; Magnoliopsida; Poales; Poaceae. The record is from RNAcentral.